Long non-coding RNA from Arabidopsis thaliana (thale cress), 383 nucleotides. RefSeq annotates it as other RNA. The record is from RefSeq. The transcript has a single exon. NCBI's taxonomy places the organism in Eukaryota, Viridiplantae, Streptophyta, Magnoliopsida, Brassicales, Brassicaceae.
GCAGAGGUCAAAGAGAGAAGAGAUCGUUGUGGUUCUUUUGCGUCGACGUUGAGGCACGUGCGUCUAACAGGUGGGCGUGACCACUGACACGUGUCUGUAGAGAUGUGUGAAAGCGAGGUUUCGAGUAACGCAGGGGACCGACUUAGCCCGCUUACCGGCGCUUCUUUUCCGGUCAACGGUCAAACUCGUCUCUCCCUCUCUCUUGCACGAACAAGAGAAUCUGCAAACUCAAAGCACGUGUUAACUGUAUUUUCUUCAAUCCCUAGUUCCACCUUUGGUCGGGUUUAUUUGUUGUUAUAUUACAUUUAAACCUAAUUAGUCCCUAAAGAUAUUGCUUUCUCUAGUGUAAUGGUGAGUGAUGACAAGUAAUUUUUUCCUAGUGU